This 289-nucleotide ribosomal RNA is filed under the name uncultured Kushneria sp. RNAcentral's name for it is "partial 16S ribosomal RNA". The record is from RNAcentral. Lineage: Bacteria; Pseudomonadati; Pseudomonadota; Gammaproteobacteria; Oceanospirillales; Halomonadaceae.
CUACUGGGGUAUCUAAUCCUGUUUGCUACCCACGCUUUCGCGCCUCAGCGUCAGUGUCAGUCCAGAAGGCCGCCUUCGCCACUGGUAUUCCUCCCGAUCUCUACGCAUUUCACCGCUACACCGGGAAUUCCACCUUCCUCUCCUGCACUCGAGCCUGCCAGUUCCGAAUGCCGUUCCCGGGUUGAGCCCGGGGCUUUCACAUCCGGCUUGGCAGGCCGCCUACGCGCCCUUUACGCCCAGUAAUUCCGAUUAACGCUUGCACCCUCCGUAUUACCGCGGCUGCUGGCAC